GUAGGUGGCAAGCGUUGUCCGGAAUUAGUUGGGACGUAAAGCGCGCGCAGGCGGUUCUUUAAGUCUGAUGUGAAAGCCCACGGCUCAACCGUGGAGGGUCAUUGGAAACUGGAGAACUUGAGUACAGAAGAGGAAAGCGGAAUUCCACGUGUAGCGGUGAAAUGCGUAGAGAUGUGGAGGAACACCAGUGGCGAAGGCGGCUUUCUGGUCUGUAACUGACGCUGAGGCGCGAAAGCGUGGGGAGCAAACAGGAUUAGAUACCCUGGUAGUCCACGCCGUAAACGAUGAGUGCUAAGUGUUAGGGGGUUUCCGCCCCCCUUAGUGCUGCAGCUAACGCAUUAAGCACUCCGCCUGGAGUACGGCCGCAAGGCUG
RNAcentral lists this ribosomal RNA (373 nucleotides) under uncultured organism. RNAcentral describes it as "partial 16S ribosomal RNA". It matches the Rfam family "Bacterial small subunit ribosomal RNA", at positions 527 to 896 of the family's 1533-position model. The record is from RNAcentral.